This 1538-nucleotide long non-coding RNA is filed under the name Zalophus californianus (California sea lion). RNAcentral's name for it is "lncRNA (ENSZCAG00015012359.1)". The record is from RNAcentral. Lineage: Eukaryota; Metazoa; Chordata; Mammalia; Carnivora; Otariidae.
ACAGAAUUUGGAACCCCGGUAACCAGGCACCCACAUUCCACAGACAGCCCCCUGCCCAGCUCAUUUCAUUGGAGAUCUUAAUGGCAAAAUGUUCACGUGUUGCCUGCCAAGGUCCCGAGGCUGCAGGUGGAAGAAGGCGCGCCUUGAGGACGCUGUCCCCCGCUGGGGAUUUCAUGUCAGGACUCCCCACCGCCUCUGGCCAUUUGGUCGGAAGGACAGAAAGAAGGCCACGGAGGACACGGAGAGGCAGCUGGCGGACGUGCCCUCCUCCCUGACAGAGGGGGUGACCCCAAAGGCAUCCCAAGAAACAGGUGCUGGGGAUUGCGAGGCAAGACCUCCGACACCACGCGGACCACCGUCCCAGGUGGUCGUCCACUGGACAGUGGUCCAGGAGCCGGAGCCCAUGGAGGCCGAGGCCGAGGCUGCUCCACCACCUGAGGAGCCAGAGCCCGAUCUGGAGGGAGGGCUGGUGCCUGCAGUGACUUCAGGAGGAGACCAGGAGCCGGCAGGUGACCCGGCACCUGCCCACGGAGAGCCUGGCGCUGUCCAGGAAGAACUGGCACCUGCUCCUGCCGCAGCCCCUGCCCCUGCCCCUGCUGCAGUUCCUGCCACUCCCCCUUCCCCCACCCCAGCCCCUGCCCCUGCCUCGGACCUAGAUCCUGACCUGGCUCCCGCCCCUUCCCUUACCCCUGCCUCUGCCCCUGCCCCAGCCCCUGCCCCUGCCUGUGCUCUUGUUCCUGCCCCUGCCCCUGUUCCUGCUCCUGCCCCUGCCAGAGCCACUGUCCCUGACCCAGAUCCUACCCUUGCUCCUGCCCCUGUCCGUACUCCUGCCAGAGCCACUGCCCCUUCCCCUGCCCCUGCCAGUGGUCCUGUUCCUCCCCCUGAGCCAGAUCCUGUCCCUGCUCCUGCCCUGGAUCCUGCACCUGCCACUACUGCUGACCCUGUCCCUCCCCUUGCCCCUGCCCCUGUCCCUGCCCCUAUCCUGAGCCCUGCCCCUACUCCUGCUCCUGCAGGGCUCCCACAGCCACAUCCAGAGCCCACAGCCCUGCAGGGAGAGCUCCUUGUACAAUCACCCUUAGUUCCAUCCCCGGAACCCGAGACCCCGCCCGAUUGUUUCAUCCCCUCCCCCUGUGUUCUUUCUCUCUGGUACAUAUUAACUGUUAUUUUAUCCUUCCAUGUCCUAUAUACUGUUUAUUAUUUGUUUUAAAUAAAAUUACUUGUUUUCAAUUGAACACGUCUUGAGCAUUAAGUACAUGCCCAACGCUGUGCCACCACACCCCAGAACAUUGCCGCAGAAUAUCUCAUUCCCCAAAGGAGUCCCCGAACCAGAAGCCCUCCCUGCCCAUUUCUCCUGCAGCCCAGACCCCGGUGACCCCUAAGCUGCUUUCUCUCUCUGUUCCUUUACCUAUUCCUGAUGUUUCUGUAAGUGGAAUCACACAAUAGGGGCCUUUGUGUCUGCCCCCCUAUUUUCAAAGGGGACUCGUUUUCUUCUGUGUUUAUUUGUCAUAAAAUUUCCCUUAUUUGAUAUUGAAAUCCCC